GUUGGCCAUACCUGCCUGUCAAUGCCGGAUCUCAUCUGAUCUCGGAAGUUAAGCAAGUCUGGGCCCGGUUAGUAUUUGGACAUUGGACCACUGGGAAUACCGGCCGCAGCA
RNAcentral lists this ribosomal RNA (111 nucleotides) under Periophthalmus magnuspinnatus. The record is from RNAcentral. Lineage: Eukaryota; Metazoa; Chordata; Actinopteri; Gobiiformes; Gobiidae.